This 468-nucleotide ribosomal RNA is filed under the name uncultured bacterium. RNAcentral describes it as "partial 16S ribosomal RNA". It matches the Rfam family "Bacterial small subunit ribosomal RNA", at positions 329 to 794 of the family's 1533-position model. The record is from RNAcentral.
CUCCAGACUCCUACGGGAGGCAGCAGUGAGGAAUAUUGGUCAAUGGGCGGAAGCCUGAACCAGCCAAGUCGCGUGAGGGAAGAAGGCCCUGCGGGUCGCAGACCUCUUUGGACGGGGAGCAAGGCCGCCGACGUGUCGGCGGAAGGAGAGUACCCGUAGAACAAGCAUCGGCUAACUCCGUGCCAGCAGCCGCGGUAAUACGGAGGAUGCGAGCGUUAUCCGGAUUUAUUGGGUUUAAAGGGUGCGCAGGCGGCACGGCAAGCCGGCGGUCAAAUCGCGGGGCUCAACCCCGCCCAGCCGUCGGAACUGCCGGGCUAGAGUGGGCGAGAAGUGCGCGGAAUGCGUGGUGUAGCGGUGAAAUGCAUAGAUAUCACACAGAACACCGAUUGCGAAGGCAUCUGACGAAUCGGAGAUUGACGCUGAUGCACGAAAGCGUGGGUAUCGAACAGGAUUAGAUACCCCCGUAGU